This is a long non-coding RNA of Mirounga angustirostris (Northern elephant seal), 3570 nucleotides long. RefSeq lists it as uncharacterized. NCBI's taxonomy places the organism in Eukaryota, Metazoa, Chordata, Mammalia, Carnivora, Phocidae. The transcript has 5 exons. The record is from RefSeq and is a predicted model, not a curated record.
AGAAUCUUCCCCUGCUUGAGCAGCUGAAGGAAGCGGCAUACCACCAGUGGGACCUGAGACUUCAGGAGAAAAAAAUCAGCAGAGUUGUGCCUGGAUAUCAUCCCGGGCUAGGGAGAGACACCCUGGGGGCAAAACGUCGCUGGAAUCAGACGAGGGUGCUGCCUACAGAAACAGGCACAGCUUUCUAAGUUGUGCCACAAAAACAAGCUGCUGAACACUCACGCAGUAAUGCUGUGUGAUUUACAAGGCCUUUUGCUUCUCUCAGGUCUUUGAAACAAAAGCAUCAGAAACCCUUUUGCAGAACAGAAAACUGAGGUGGCCGGUGGUGUUCAAAGGCAAUGCAGAGUGCUGUAGGGGGGAGAUCAGUACCCACGCACAUCUUGACUCUGCAACUUCAAUCCAGAAGCACAGAUCAAUCCUGAGCACCAGCUUCCGUAAGUUCCUCCCUCCCAAGGUACUGUGAGGAACACAAGAUAAAUAAGAUUCAGACCCUAUUCUCAAAGAACUUAGAAUCUAUUUGGAAAUUUCAAGCAAUGCACCCUGAAUUAUGGAUCUGCUCUAAGACAGCAUUCAAGCAGGUGCAGAGGGGCCUGGUCCACACUCUGGGUGUGCAGUUCCAAGAAGAGAAUGGGCCACACAAGGGUGAAGAGGACUAGGAGGGUUUCAUGCCGAAGAUGGACACCAGCGAGGCCUAAGAGGAGGCACAGCAGAGAACCCUGAAUUGGAAUGUGAAGAGAAAAGAGUGGACUUUUGUCACUAUUGGGAAGUAAUUCUUCAUUAUGCAAGAAUUUAUUACAUCCUUGCUAUGGGAGGGAAGAAUUAACAAGUUCUGAUGGGACCAAUGCAGAAUGGAGUCACCAUGAAGCUGUCGUGACUCACUGCGGGACACAACAUGACCGUGGUUUCCAGCUCUCUCACCUCCACUCCGCACUCCAAAUUGGACAAUUUUCCAUCAGGUGGUGACUGGCCCUUGAGUGUCCGCUUUCCCCACCCGCCAGAUGUUGUGAAUCAUAAACCCAUCAGCCUCAAGGCCUCUGUCCUCUGAAGAUGCAGGCUCUGAGGGCAGGUGGGGAGAGGGGAGAUUCCAGCAAGGCCCCACGACCGUCAGCAGCUUCCAUGGCAGAGAGGAUUCACCGGGCCAGCUGGGUCCUGGGCUUGGAGGCCGACUGGGUGUCUGUCAUCAGCUCCCUCCUGUCCCGGAAACAGCUUCUUCAAAAGGGUCUGCAGCAGCGGCUGCAGUGGGGAGGCCGGUUCAGAGCCUCUGGGGCUGUUGGAAGGUGGGAGGAGGAGGAGGGGAGGGGAGGGGUGAGGAGGAGGCCCGGAGCCCUGCCGCCUGAGUGAGGCUGGUGACACGAAGAAUCUAUCAGUCUUGUGUGCAGAGCCAAAUAUGGUGCUGGGGCUCAAUAAGUAAUAAACAAUGGUCACGUUGCCGGCUUGACAAGGAGAGGCAUUACAGAUGAGAGCCAGGGCCAGCCUGACGUCACCGCAUGUGGCCGCUCCCCACCAUGGGCAGGAAUUCCUUAUUUGUCCUUGUUGAGCCCACACGUGCUUUCUUCUUGAUGCGCUCAAAGCAGGAAGGGGAAACUGAGGCCCACGCGUCACUUCGGAGACGGGUCCCCCGGGGUGUGGUAUGAGCUGAGCCCGGGUCAUGUCUUGACUUGCUUUUGGCAGCAUUGACCACACACAGCUGGGCUCUUAGGGGCAACAGCAGUAGAUGUCAUGGCUGGAAAGAGCCAGAACUGGGACAUUUUCUAGUAGAAGUGGUUGAAGCACAUUAUUAAAAUGUGAGUUUUCGACACCCCAGGACAGCUGUUUGUAGGGGACUGGGGAACGCACAGAGCCCGAAGGCUGGCCUCUCCUUACAGCGCUGGGUGACAGGCUGGCUGGAGACAGGCCCUCACACAUUCAGAUCUGAGAGCAGAGCCGAACUGGUGGCGUGCGGGAGGGCUGGCGGGGCCAGGAUGCCUCCUGCAUCUUCCUCCUGCGCAUCAGGUUCAGGCACUGGCCUCUGAAUGAGGUGGGACCUGUCCCUUUCCCCGUGCCUGUCUGCAUUUGGGCCUUCUUAACAAUGAGAUUUCUCUGCAGCGCGUGUCCUAUAUAUGCAACUACAGAGAAGAGCUGACAAGGGAGGUAGCGUCACGUCGUGGUGAAAAGAGCACAGGAUUUUGAGCCAGAAAGACCUGGCUUUGUGUCUUAGAAUCCCAGCUGUGCCCAUCACCCGCUGUGAGACCUUAGGGUGUUCAACUCGCUCCCCACAAAAUGGGGCAAUCUCUCCCUCUCUGCGGGGUUUUCGGGAGAGUCAGAAAUAGCCCUCCGAAAGGGCCCAGCGUGGUAGGCUCCCAGGAAAUAGAGCGGAUAUGGUUCUCCUAAACUGAAACGAUGAACCACCUGUAGGCUGAUAUUGGCUAGAGCCCCUCCUCCCUCCUGCCGGCAGCUUUGCGGUUCCGAGCUCUCGAGAACGGGUUGUGGCUUUGGAAACGCAGAUGCCUUGGGCAGAAGAGAGAGAAGACUUCUCGAGGAAAGCCAAAGGGCACCGCGUUCGACUGGCACGACUCUGUCUGCACUCUGAUGGCUGUGCUGCUGGGCCCAGAAUGCUGAGCAGGGAGCCGGAGCGGGGCUGCUCUGCGGGGCAGGGGCAGGCCCAGCCGUGAGGCCGGGCUCCAUCACCGUCCUUUCCCGGCCCGUCAUCAUCCGGGAUGUGGGAGCCCCAGGUGGGGGGGGCGGUGGAGAAGCAUGCGGUUCCUGGGCUGCCCAGAAACUGCUCGCGCCACAUAGCCACCAUGCUUGUUGCAGGGAGGGAUGGUCACCAUAUGCCUUUUGCGCCGGCACGUUGAUUAGACCCGCUCCCGUUUGCUCUCCGCAAUCACCCCCUGAAUGGAAAAUUAGGAGAGCCAUAUGCAUUUGCUUCCUAUCAUCCAGGGUGGAAAACCCUGAUCCUUUGUGCCAGAAGGAAAGUGUCUAGGAGGCCAUCGGUCUACACCUUAAAUGUCAUGGAGAGAGUGUGCCAGAGCGGUGUCCACACUGAUGGACCCAAACAGUGAGGAAAAUGGGGUAAAAAUCAGAAAGGAAUAGGCACGCCAUCAUUCACACAAGAGUAGGAUUAAACCUAAAACAUGACUUAUUAGUUUUAUUUGUAAGUUUGCAAGUCAUAUUUCUCCCACAGCAAUGCUACAUUAAGAAUAGUAGAUUAGGGUGCCUGGGUGGCUCAGUUGGUUAAGCGACUGCCUUCGGCUCAGGUCAUGAUCCUGGAGUCCCCGGAUCGAGUCCCGCAUUGGGCUCCCUGCUCGGCGGGGAGCCUGCUUCUCCCUCUGACCCUCCCCCCUCUCAUGCUCUCUCUAUCUCAUUCUCUCUCUCAAAUAAAUAAAUAAAAUCUUAAAAAAAAAAAAAAGAAUAGUAGAUUAAAUAAAUAAAGAGUAAUGGCAGACUGUGACUAUUGUCAUUUGUCACCCCCCAGAGCUCCAUGUUUCUACAUGGUGGCAACAAAACCAGUGAUCUAAAUAUUAACAAGUGGAACGCAUUAUAAACACUUAGUUAUAUAUUAUGAUCCCUGUAAAGUCAUUACAACAGAAA